AGUGUACUUCGUUUGAAACGGCAUCCUUUUGUGACAAAUGUCAGGACUCAAUUAACAAUGAAUUUUCCUGGAACAAAAGAUAUAGUGGAUAGCCCGACCGGAG
This 103-nucleotide small RNA is filed under the name Flavobacterium sp. 245. RNAcentral describes it as "Flavo-1 RNA". Lineage: Bacteria; Pseudomonadati; Bacteroidota; Flavobacteriia; Flavobacteriales; Flavobacteriaceae. The record is from RNAcentral.